RNAcentral lists this ribosomal RNA (432 nucleotides) under uncultured bacterium. Its description in RNAcentral is "bacterial SSU rRNA". It matches the Rfam family "Bacterial small subunit ribosomal RNA", at positions 29 to 507 of the family's 1533-position model. The record is from RNAcentral.
AACGAACGCUGCGGCAGGCUUAACACAUGCAAGUCGAACGUCUCGCAAGAGGGCGUGGGCAGACGGGUGCGUAACGCGUGGGAACAUACCUCUCGGUUCGGAAUAACCCAGGGAAACUUGGGACAAUACCGGAUACGUGCGAAAGCAGAAAGAUUUAUCGCCGAGAGAUUGGCCCGCGUCCGAUUAGCUGGUUGGUGAGGUAACGGCUCACCAAGGCGACGAUCGGUAGCUGGUCUGAGAGGAUGAUCAGCCACACUGGGACUGAGACACGGCCCAGACUCCUACGGGAGGCAGCAGUGGGGAAUAUUGGACAAUGGGCGCAAGCCUGAUCCAGCCAUGCCGCGUGAGUGAUGAAGGCCCUAGGGUUGUAAAGCUCUUUCGCCAGGGACGAUAAUGACGGUACCUGGAUAAGAAGCCCCGGCUAACUUCGUG